RNAcentral lists this ribosomal RNA (497 nucleotides) under uncultured bacterium. RNAcentral's name for it is "partial 16S ribosomal RNA". It matches the Rfam family "Bacterial small subunit ribosomal RNA", at positions 29 to 507 of the family's 1533-position model. The record is from RNAcentral.
AUUGAACGCUGGCGGCAUGCCUUACACAUGCAAGUCGAACGGCAGCACGGGUGCUUGCACCUGGUGGCGAGUGGCGAACGGGUGAGUAAUACAUCGGGACAUGUCCUGUAGUGGGGGAGAGCCCGGCGAAAGCCGGGUUAAUACCGCAUACGAUCUACGGAUAAAGGCGGGGUCCUUCGGGCCAGGCGGUUUUGGGGUGGCCGAUGGGUGGAUAGGUGGCUGAUUAGCUAGUUGGUUGGGUAACGGCCUACCAAGGCGACGAUCAGUAGCUGGUCUGAGAGGACGACCAGCCACACUGGGACUGAGACACGGCCCAGACUCCUACGGGAGGCAGCAGUGGGGAAUUUUGGACAAUGGGCGAAAGCCUGAUCCAGCAAUGCCGCGUGUGUGAAGAAGGCCUUCGGGUUGUAAAGCACUUUUGUCCGGAAAGAAAUCCUUGGCCCUAAUACGGUCGGGGGAUGACGGUACCGGAAGAAUAAGCACCGGCUAACUACGUG